AUUGAACGCUGGCGGCAGGCCUAACACAUGCAAGUCGAGCGGAUGAAGGGAGCUUGCUCCUGGAUUCAGCGGCGGACGGGUGAGUAAUGCCUAGGAAUCUGCCUGGUAGUGGGGGAUAACGUCCGGAAACGGGCGCUAAUACCGCAUACGUCCUGAGGGAGAAAGUGGGGGAUCUUCGGACCUCACGCUAUCAGAUGAGCCUAGGUCGGAUUAGCUAGUUGGUGGGGUAAAGGCCUACCAAGGCGACGAUCCGUAACUGGUCUGAGAGGAUGAUCAGUCACACUGGAACUGAGACACGGUCCAGACUCCUACGGGAGGCAGCAGUGGGGAAUAUUGGACGAUGGGCGAAAGCCUGAUCCAGCCACGCCGCGUGUGUGAAGAAGGUCUUCGGAUUGUAAAGCACUUUAAGUUGGGAGGAAGGGCAGUAAGUUAAUACCUUGCUGUUUUGACGUUACCAACAGAAUAAGCACCGGCUAACUUCGUG
RNAcentral lists this ribosomal RNA (484 nucleotides) under uncultured bacterium. RNAcentral describes it as "partial 16S ribosomal RNA". It matches the Rfam family "Bacterial small subunit ribosomal RNA", at positions 30 to 507 of the family's 1533-position model. The record is from RNAcentral.